UACGGAGGGUGCGAGCGUUGUCCGGAAUCAUUGGGCGUAAAGGGUGUGUAGGUGGCGCCGUAAGUCGGGUGUGAAAUCUCGGGGCUUAACUCCGAAACUGCAUUCGAUACUGCGGUGCUUGAGGACUGGAGAGGAGACUGGAAUUCAUGGUGUAGCAGUGAAAUGCGUAGAGAUCAUGAGGAAGACCAGUGGCGAAGGCGGGUCUCUGGACAGUUCCUGACACUGAGACACGAAGGCCAGGGGAGCAAACGGG
This 253-nucleotide ribosomal RNA is filed under the name uncultured bacterium. RNAcentral's name for it is "partial 16S ribosomal RNA". It matches the Rfam family "Bacterial small subunit ribosomal RNA", at positions 524 to 776 of the family's 1533-position model. The record is from RNAcentral.